GGAUUAGAUACCCCUGUAGUCCUGGCAGUAAACGGUGCACGCUUGGUGUGGGCGGAUUUAACCCCUGCCGUGCCGGAGCUAACGCGUUAAGUGCGCCGCCUGGGGAGUACGGCCGCAAGGCUAAAACUCAAAGAAAUUGACGGGGACCCGCACAAGCGGUGGAGUAUGUGGCUUAAUUCGAUGCAACGCGAAGAACCUUACCUAGGCUUGACAUGCUCGUCAUACCUCCCAGAAACGGGAGGGUCGGUUCGGCCGGACGAUGCACAGGUGCUGCAUGGCCGUCGUCAGCUCGUGUCGUGAGAUGUUUGGUUAAGUCCAGCAACGAGCGCAACCCCUGUGAAUAGUUGCCAGCGCGUAAUGGCGGGGACUCUAUUCAGACUGCCGGUAUCAAACCGGAGGAAGGUGGGGACGACGUCAGGUCAGUAUGGCCCUUACGCCUAGGGCUGCACACGUACUACAAUGCCCAGUAUAAUGAGAACCGAGACCGCGAGGUGGAGGAAAUCUGCAAAACUGGGCCCAGUUCGGAUUGGAGGCUGCAACUCGCCUCCAUGAAGUCGGAAUCGCUAGUAAUGGCUCAUCAGCAACGGAGCCGUGAAUACGUUCCCGGGUCUUGUACACACCGCCCGUCACAUCAUGGAAGCCGGUCGCACCCGAAGUAUCUGCGCUAACUUUCGAGAAGCAGGAUCCUAAGGUGUAGCUGGUAACUGGGAUGAAGUCGUAACAAGGUAGCCGUA
Molecule: ribosomal RNA, 734 nt
Filed under: uncultured Planctomycetota bacterium
Lineage: Bacteria; Pseudomonadati; Planctomycetota
Description: bacterial SSU rRNA
Rfam family: Bacterial small subunit ribosomal RNA
Source: RNAcentral